Tachysurus vachellii is the source of this 666-nucleotide non-coding RNA. Lineage: Eukaryota; Metazoa; Chordata; Actinopteri; Siluriformes; Bagridae. The record is from the annotation of a RefSeq genome assembly.
AUGUUCCUUCCAGUUCUGCUGCUGCUGGCAGCUUCAUCCUAUGUGGAAUGUGCAGUAGAGCUCACUCAGGACACCUCAGUGAUGUUAAAGCCUGGAGAUUCUUUAAUCCUCAGCUGUAAAGUAUCCGGUUACUCAGUUACUGAUAACAGCUACGCCACAGCUUGGAUUCGACAACCUGCAGGGAAAACUCUGGAAUGGAUAAACCACAUUUGGGGAGGUGGAAGCACGUAUCAUAAAGAGUCUCUAAAAAGCAAGUUCAGUAUUUCUAAAGAUGCCUCCAGCAGCACGGUGACACUGAGAGGACAGAACAUGCAGACUGAAGACACAGCUGUGUAUUACUGCUUUACAGUGAGCUCUGUAAGAGAUAACACUCCCAUACACUUUAAAUCUGUGGUGAAGAGACCUGGAGAGUCAGUCACUCUGUCCUGUACUGUCUCCGGAUUCUCAAUGGGCAGCUACUACAUGCACUGGAUCCGUCAGAAACCAGGACAAGGACUGGAGUGGAUCGGGCGCAUUGAUGGUGGCACUGGCACAAUAUUCGCUCAGUCUCUACAGGGCCAGUUCUCCAUCAAUAAAGACACCAAUAAAAACUUGCUGUACCUAGAAGUGAAGAGUCUGAAAGCUGAAGACACGGCAGUUUAUUACUGUGCACGAGAGUCACACUGA